This 458-nucleotide long non-coding RNA is filed under the name Physcomitrium patens. RNAcentral describes it as "long non-coding RNA (PPAT_LNC003000)". Lineage: Eukaryota; Viridiplantae; Streptophyta; Bryopsida; Funariales; Funariaceae. The record is from RNAcentral.
AUUGAUUAAUUAGAUAAGCCAGAGGGAUCGUAAUUUUUGUAGAGUUUUGUUAGAUAAUUUUUAAAUAGGUAUCAAUUGAGUAUUUGCGAGGACGCUGCACAGUUAGGAGUGGGGCUAUGUAGAAUAAGUAGUUAUUUUCAGAAUGUAGAUACCUAUUAUAUAGUGUAAAUAAGGAUAGAUAACUGCUAAAAAGGUGGUUCAGCAAGUAGAAUGGAUGAAUAGUUAGGAAAAGUAGUUAUCAUCUGUAGUAUAGGAAUUGGUAUCUCGGGGUAGUAUAAAGAGGAUGGGAGAGGGGAAGAAAAUGCCAAACUGCAAUAGUACUGAGCCGAUGAUAAGCUUGGUGCUAUCUCUUCUUCUUAAUUUUCUUGUUUCUUUUAUGUUAAUGUUGAUUCUAGUGAAGAGAAUCGAUUUAAUGAAUUAAUUUUUGAUUUAUGAAGUUGUUUAUGUAUCACCGUUUA